AUGAAGGAAGGAGACAUAAAUGGCAAAGAUUCCAGGCAAAGGAGCAAAGGUCCAUUAAUAACCAGAGCCCCUCUGGUACACCUGAUUGUUUAAGAAGAGGAAGGAGGAAGAGAAGGCUCUCUUUGGCGAAUGGGGUGAUCCAGUGGCAUUUUUACAUGCUGCACAAAUAUCUGACUGUGUUUAAAGUAAAUUAAAAUAAUAGUACAAAUAGACCAACUUUGAACUUAUGCAGAUCUUGGCUAAACCAUUGACUCAUAUCUGUGGAA
RNAcentral lists this long non-coding RNA (266 nucleotides) under Apteryx owenii (little spotted kiwi). RNAcentral's name for it is "lncRNA (ENSAOWG00000013839.1)". The record is from RNAcentral. Lineage: Eukaryota; Metazoa; Chordata; Aves; Apterygiformes; Apterygidae.